RNAcentral lists this ribosomal RNA (200 nucleotides) under uncultured bacterium. Its description in RNAcentral is "partial 16S ribosomal RNA". It matches the Rfam family "Bacterial small subunit ribosomal RNA", at positions 1300 to 1500 of the family's 1533-position model. The record is from RNAcentral.
GUAGUCUGCAACCCGACUACAUGAAGCUGGAAUCGCUAGUAAUCGCGGAUCAGAAUGCCGCGGUGAAUACGUUCCCGGGUCUUGUACACACCGCCCGUCACACCAUGGGAGUCGGAAAUGCCCGAAGUCUGUGACCCAACCUUAGGAGGGAGCAGCCGAAGGCAGGUCGGAUGACUGGGGUGAAGUCGUAACAAGGUAAC